UCAUUCAGACAGGCCCUUCCGCACCAAAUCUGGGACUGAAAGCCCAUCCCACCUACGUUAAAAACUGCUGCAAUAAAUAUUCUGAGUGGAUUGCAGCUGAGCAGCUAUGGCCCUCUGGCAUUCGUUAAGGGUUACCAAAGACUCUUCUCUGUCAGGAAUCGUCUCGCCUAGUGCAAGAGAAUGUUCAACCCGACUGCAGGGUGUUCUGGCUCAUGUACUGCAGAAGACACAAAUUUUGCUUUUUGAGUGACUGGCUUAUGAAUGACACAGCUUCAGUGAGCUUUAGCGAAAGGUUAGUAAAAUAAUUUGAUUUCAAACGACUCUAUUAAUACUGUACAGUGUGUUAGCAAGAACAUU
RNAcentral lists this long non-coding RNA (357 nucleotides) under Chrysemys picta bellii (western painted turtle). RNAcentral describes it as "lncRNA (ENSCPBG00000005467.1)". Lineage: Eukaryota; Metazoa; Chordata; Testudines; Emydidae. The record is from RNAcentral.